Molecule: ribosomal RNA, 467 nt
Filed under: uncultured bacterium
Lineage: Bacteria
Description: partial 16S ribosomal RNA
Rfam family: Bacterial small subunit ribosomal RNA
Source: RNAcentral
ACGCACGCUGGCCGCGUGCUUAACACCUGCCAGUCGAACGGAAAGGCCCUGCUUUUGUGGGGUGCUCGAGUGGCGAACGGGUGAGUAACACGUGAGUAACCUGCCCUUGACUUUGGGAUAACUUCAGGAAACUGAGGCUAAUACCGGAUAGGAGCUCCUGCUGCCUGGUGGGGGUUGGAAAGUUUCGGCGGUUGGGGAUGGACUCGCGGCUUAUCAGCUUGUUGGUGGGGUAGUGGCUUACCAAGGCUUUGACGGGUAGCCGGCCUGAGAGGGUGACCGGCCACAUUGGGACUGAGAUACGGCCCAGACUCCUACGGGAGGCAGCAGUGGGGAAUAUUGCACAAUGGGCGGAAGCCUGAUGCAGCAACGCCGCGUGCGGGAUGACGGCCUUCGGGUUGUAAACCGCUUUCGCCUGUGACGAAGCGUGAGUGACGGUAAUGGGUAAAGAAGCACCGGCUAACUACGUG